This 480-nucleotide ribosomal RNA is filed under the name Blastocystis sp. RNAcentral's name for it is "SSU rRNA". It matches the Rfam family "Eukaryotic small subunit ribosomal RNA", at positions 460 to 953 of the family's 1831-position model. The record is from RNAcentral. Lineage: Eukaryota; Bigyra; Opalinata; Blastocystidae.
GGAGGUAGUGACAAUAAAUCACAAUGCGGAACUUCUGUUUUGCAAUUGGAUUGAGAACAACGCACAACACUUAUCGAUAAACAAUUGGAGGGCAAGUCUGGUGCCAGCAGCCGCGGUAAUUCCAGCUCCAAUAGCGUAUAUUAACGUUGUUGCAGUUAAAAAGCUCGUAGUUGAAGUGAAGUGUGAAUCUCUAGGAUUUUCGUUCGAAUUUCCUUUAGCUUCAUACUCUUUCCAAAUAGUUUGCAUGGGUAUUUACUUAUCUGUGUAUUGCAUUUGGUCAUUUACUGUGAGAAAAUUAGAGUGUUCAAAGCAUACGUUUGUUUGAAUACAUUAGCAUGGAAUAAUUCGAAAAGGCUUUCAUGUUCGAUUUGAUUGGUUUGUUCGUGAAGGCAAGAUUAAAAGGGACAGUUGGGGGUAUUCAUAUUCAAUAGUCAGAGGUGAAAUUCUCGGAUUUAUGGAAGAUGAACAAGUGCGAAAGCA